Molecule: ribosomal RNA, 507 nt
Filed under: uncultured bacterium
Lineage: Bacteria
Description: bacterial SSU rRNA
Rfam family: Bacterial small subunit ribosomal RNA
Source: RNAcentral
AUUGAACGCUGGCGGAAUGCUUUACACAUGCAAGUCGAACGGCAGCACGGGGGCAACCCUGGUGGCGAGUGGCGAACGGGUGAGUAACACAUCGGAACGUGCCCAGUCGUGGGGGAUAACGUAGCGAAAGCUACGCUAAUACCGCAUACGAACUCUGGUUGAAAGCGGGGGACUCGCAAGAGCCUCGCGCGAUUGGAGCGGCCGAUGGCAGAUUAGGUAGUUGGUGGGGGUAAAGGCUCACCAAGCCGACGAUCUGUAGCUGGUCUGAGAGGACGACCAGCCACACUGGGACUGAGACACGGCCCAGACUCCUACGGGAGGCAGCAGUGGGGAAUUUUGGACAAUGGGCGCAAGCCUGAUCCAGCCAUUCCGCGUGCAGGAUGAAGGCCCUCGGGUUGUAAACUGCUUUUGGACGGAACGAAAAGGGACCUUUCCUAAUACGGAGGGCUCAUGACGGUACCGUCAGAAUAAGCACCGGCUAACUACGUAGCCAGCAGCCGCGGUAAU